Oreochromis niloticus (Nile tilapia) is the source of this 474-nucleotide long non-coding RNA. RefSeq lists it as uncharacterized. The transcript is spliced from 5 exons. Lineage: Eukaryota; Metazoa; Chordata; Actinopteri; Cichliformes; Cichlidae. The record is from RefSeq and is a predicted model, not a curated record.
GUGGAGUCUCUCUCAUUAUUAUUCUCCUGCUCUUGUUGUAUCGCUGCAGACAGUCCAAGUAUUCCUGCUUCACCAGGUCGAUCCAGUCUGAGAGUCACAGUCCGGGCUCCUCCACAAAUCAUGGAGUCAACCAGAAUGAAACUCAUGUGUACGGCUCUCUUCAACAUGGUAUCAUUAAUCUCUAUGAAUCUGUUACGCACGUCGAAGACAACAGAAAUGGUGCAGUAUAUGUGUUGAAAAGCACAGAGCAGUUAGAGAUGAAACUUGUUUUUGAUUUAAUUGACAUUUUUUUAAAUUAAAUUCUAUUUGACAUAUAUUUACACUCCUGUAACUAAAAUAUGAACAUUUCAGGAUCAGAUGAACAUCAAGACGUCACAUACGCUCUCAUUGAAUUUAAAACCUCUGGAAAGAAGAGGAAGCAUCAUAAACCAGAGCAGAGUGCUGUUUACUCUGAGGUGAAGACGGGAGCUGCAG